UACAGAGGUCUCAACCGUUGCUCGGAUUCAUUGGGCGUAAAGGGUGCGUAGGCGGUCGCGCAAGUCGGAUGUGAAAUCUUAGGGCUCAACCCUGAAACUGCAUUCGAUACUGCGUGGCUCGAGUACUGGAGAGGAGACUGGAAUUUACGGUGUAGCAGUGAAAUGCGUAGAUAUCGUAAGGAAGGCCGGUGGCGAAAGCGAGCCUCUGGACAGUUACUGACGCUGAUGCACGAAGGCCAGGGGAGCAAACGGG
Molecule: ribosomal RNA, 253 nt
Filed under: uncultured bacterium
Lineage: Bacteria
Description: partial 16S ribosomal RNA
Rfam family: Bacterial small subunit ribosomal RNA
Source: RNAcentral